UACGUAGGGUGCGAGCGUUAAUCGGAAUUACUGGGCGUAAAGCGUGCGCAGGCGGUUUUCCAAGACAGAUGUGAAAUCCCCGGGCUCAACCUGGGAAUGGCAUUUGUGACUGGAAGGCUAGAGUGUGUCAGAGGGGGGUAGAAUUCCACGUGUAGCAAGUGAAAUGCGUAGAGAUGUGGAGGAAUACCGAUGGCGAAGGCAGCCCCCUGGGAUAACACUGACGCUCAUGCACGAAAGCGUGGGGAGCAAACAGG
This 254-nucleotide ribosomal RNA is filed under the name uncultured bacterium. RNAcentral's name for it is "partial 16S ribosomal RNA". It matches the Rfam family "Bacterial small subunit ribosomal RNA", at positions 524 to 776 of the family's 1533-position model. The record is from RNAcentral.